GACGAACGCUGGCGGCGUGCUUAACACAUGCAAGUCGAACGGAAAGGCCUGCUUUCCCUUGUGGAUUGCGGGUACUCGAGUGGCGAACGGGUGAGUAACACGUGAGUGAUCUGCCCCCAACUUGGGUAUAAGCCUGGGAAACUGGGUCUAAUUCCCGAUAGGACUGCAGGGUGGUGCCUGUGGUGGAAAACGAUUUUCUAGUGGUUGGGGAUGAGCUCGCGGCCUAUCAGCGUGUUGGUGGGGUAAUGGCCUACCAAGGCGGCGACGGGUAGCCGGCCUGAGAGGGUGGACGGCCACAUUGGGACUGAGAUACGGCCCAGACUCCUACGGGAGGCAGCAGUGGGGAAUAUUGGACAAUGGGCGGAAGCCUGAUGCAGCGACGCCGCGUGGGGGAUGACGGCCUUCGGGUUGUAAACUCCUUUCGACGGCGAGGAAGCCACCUGGUUGGAAGGGUGGUGACGGUAGUGGUAGAAGAAGCACCGGCUAACUACGUG
This 494-nucleotide ribosomal RNA is filed under the name uncultured bacterium. Its description in RNAcentral is "partial 16S ribosomal RNA". It matches the Rfam family "Bacterial small subunit ribosomal RNA", at positions 28 to 507 of the family's 1533-position model. The record is from RNAcentral.